This 271-nucleotide non-coding RNA is filed under the name Conticribra weissflogii. Lineage: Eukaryota; Bacillariophyta; Thalassiosirophyceae; Thalassiosirales; Thalassiosiraceae. The record is from RNAcentral.
ACGCUCAGAUUUCUGGGAAAUUAAAUUCCGUUCAUUCAUGAAGAUGGAUCGAACUGUGCCGUAAUCGAAGUAUUCAUUCGACUUUAGGGCUGGAGAUCAUUAGCACUGGACUUGUUUAGAACAUCCGGAAUUCAUCAACCUAGGUCGAAAAAAAGAUGUCAAUUGACUUUUACGCCAACCCGGAAAAAUAAGAUGAAAUCUGAACACCCAUCAUCAUACGCGACCUGCGAUUGAUUAACGGCAGUGUAAAGGAUAAAUUAUUUUGCAAGAA